AUUGCCUAGAAAUUCGUAUGAUUUUCUGUGAAAAUUGUUUUUAAUUAUAAAUUUUUGUGGGAAAGGAAAUUGCUAUGAGGAUACCAAGCUCCCUCUUCUGAGUUAAAGUUGAGGAAAAUUGCUGGCAGAAUCGAACCUAAUUAUUAUAUCGCCACCACUGAGGUUGAUUUGGAGCUUUCAGCGGACGAGUAUGAACUUGGUUGCUGUGUUAGAAUUGUAAAGAAUUGUUCUUUGAUGUUUUUAGUGUAAUUUCAAAUCAUCAUUAACAAAUUCGGUGAGACCCAACGAUUUCAUUUCUACUAAAACUAAUUUGUAUUCGAUUUCAAAUUCAAAUUCAUGUGAUGGGUCCUGGUGAAUGCUUCGUUGUGGCAAAUCUAAUAUUCUGCGUUGUGCCCAAAUUGGCCCAAAUUGUUGUGAAACGCUAUUGCAAACUUGGAUGUUAUUGGUCGUUUAAUCUCAACUGGGCAUCAAAGUUUUUGCGGAAACAAUAUAUGCAAGAAAAUUGUUCAUUUGUAUACUUUGAUAGAAACUCAAUAGGUUCAAUCUUGAGUGUGCUUCUCGCAUGGGCUGGGUCAUGUGGCUAAGUUAUUGGUUCAACCUGUUCGAUCCGGAUUCGAUUAGUGACCCACUACAAUACGAAUUUUGCCAAAGAGAAUGUUUUUUAAACUGAUUGGAUCUACUUUUCAAUUUGGUCAUUCCAUUCCAUCAAUCA
Long non-coding RNA from Prunus mume (Japanese apricot), 712 nucleotides. RefSeq lists it as uncharacterized. The record is from RefSeq and is a predicted model, not a curated record. Lineage: Eukaryota; Viridiplantae; Streptophyta; Magnoliopsida; Rosales; Rosaceae.